RNAcentral lists this ribosomal RNA (549 nucleotides) under uncultured bacterium. RNAcentral describes it as "bacterial SSU rRNA". It matches the Rfam family "Bacterial small subunit ribosomal RNA", at positions 355 to 896 of the family's 1533-position model. The record is from RNAcentral.
UGGGGAAUAUUCGCGCAUUUGGGGGGAACCCUGACGCAGCCAUGCCGCGUGAAUGAAGAAGGCCUUCGGGUUGUAAAGUUCUUUCGGUAUUGAGGAAGGUUGAUGUGUUAAUAGCACAUCAAAUUGACGUUAAAUACAGAAGAAGCACCGGCUAACUCCGUGCCAGCAGCCGCGGUAAUACGGAGGGUGCGAGCGUUAAUCGGAAUUACUGGGCGUAAAGCGCGCGUAGGUGGUUAUUUAAGUCAGAUGUGAAAGCCCCGGGCUUAACCUGGGAACUGCAUCUGAUACUGGAUAACUAGAGUAGGUGAGAGGGGAGUAGAAUUCCAGGUGUAGCGGUGAAAUGCGUAGAGAUCUGGAGGAAUACCGAUGGCGAAGGCAGCUCCCUGGCAUCAUACUGACACUGAGGUGCGAAAGCGUGGGUAGCAAACAGGAUUAGAUACCCUGGUAGUCCACGCUGUAAACGCUGUCGAUUUGGGGGUUGGGGUUUAACUCUGGCGCCCGUAGCUAACGUGAUAAAUCGACCGCCUGGGGAGUACGGCCGCAAGGUUA